This is a non-coding RNA of Zootoca vivipara (common lizard), 2839 nucleotides long. NCBI's taxonomy places the organism in Eukaryota, Metazoa, Chordata, Lepidosauria, Squamata, Lacertidae. The record is from RefSeq and is a predicted model, not a curated record.
GUGUGUGUGUGUGUGCAUAUUGCUAUAUUAUAAGUAUGUAAGAAAUUAAAAUGUAAAAUGGAAUGCCAAACUUGUCUGCCUUCUGUGGCUCUGUGAUGUCUUGUUGCCACAGUAACAGAAAUUACAGCUUUUAAAAACACAACAAAAAAUUCUGGCCUAGAGAGCUACAAGUAGGUCCAGAUCUAUGUCCAUAAUUUUUGUAUUUCAUUUAGUAAUGAUGAUCAUCAGUAAGACCUAUGACCUGACUUACUGUUCUUCAGAUUCACGGUCUUGGAAAGCUUCUAGAUCCAUCACAGUGCAAGAAAUUGUAACUAUCUUCCCUGGUUGAGCUACCUCCUCACAGACCAAGGGUGAUUCUAGACUAUUGUUAUAUUCAGGUGGGAUUCAAUCACACAUCAGUGAGUUCAAGCUGUGAAUUGUAGCUUAGGAGGAGGAGGUCUUGCACCGUCCCCGAAGAUUGGACUUUUGUGAUGACUGACAAAGUGACUGACAAAUGCAGCAGGAAAUGUUGGGUAACACUUGCUUUGAUAGUGUCAUCUAACCUCCCUGCAAACAAAUCAGGAUAACUGCAUGAUAAACAGGUUGUCUGAAAGCACUCCCAGUCCAGGCAGUGUAAGCCAUUAUUUAUUCCUUACAUUUUCAUCCUGCCAUUCCCCUAAAUUGCUCAGUAUGGGAUAAGUUUCUGCCCCGUCACCACUCUUUUACCCUCACAAGCACCCUGUGAGGUAAGUUGGGCUGAGAGAUUAUGACUGGUCCAAAGUCACCCAGGGAAUUUCACACAUGAAUGGGUAUUUCAAGCAGUGUCUCCCUAAGUCAUAGCUCGACAGUAUAGCCAUCAGGCCCAUGCAGAGGCGGGGGGGGGGCAGCUGGGUACACUUGCCCCAGGCCUCAGAGGACAAAGCCUGCCAGAUUUACUGCUGUCAUGCCAAUAACAAAACUCCUGCCCUGGACUUCAGAUGACAUGGGGUGUGUGUGUAGUUACACACAUGUUGUUGUUGUUGUUUAGUCGUUUAGUCAUGUCCGACUCUUCAUGACCCCAUGGACCAGAGCACGCCAGGCACUCCUGUCUUCCACUGCCUCCCGCAGUUUGGUCAGACUCAUAUUCGUAGCUUCGAGAACACUGUCCAACCAUCUCGUCCUCUGUCGUCCCCUUCUCCUUCUUCUUGCAGUCCAUGGGACUCUCAAGAGUCUCCUCCAGCACCAUAAUUCAAAAGCAUCAAUUCUUCGGCGAUCAGCCUUCUUUAUGGUUCCAGCUCUCACUUCCAUACAUCACUACUGGGAAAACCAUAGCUUUAACUAUACGGACCUUUGUCGGCAAAGUGAUGUCUCUGCUUUUUAAGAUGCUGUCUAGGUUUGUCAUUGCUUUUCUCCCAAGAAGCAGGCGUCUUUUAAUUUCGUGACUGCUGUCACCAUCUGCAGUGAUCAUGUGGAUCACACACAUAUUGGGCGUGCCUAAAACAGUCACUGUCUGUAGAACAUUAUAUUGUACUUGGUUUCCAGAAUCCACAUUGGUUCUGUUUAAAAGUGCUAAACCUGUCCUUUACAACUCUGCGUCUCCAUAGCGGUGGACACUUUUCUUGCAUGCAGUGACAAUCUUUAAUAAAAGCUGCUUUUUGCCUUCAAUUUUACACCACCUGUGCACAAAAUAUAAUAAACACAGCAGGCAGGGAGAUAAUUAUAGUGGCUGCCUGAUGCUUGUGGUACUCAGUUUCCCUUGAGGUACAUAAAACUCUGAACCUGAUUAUUUCCAAAAAGUGCUGUAAGUACUUUUGCAGGGUAGAGGGUGAUAGACUGGGAUUUAGCGAUUAGUGGAUUUUUAAUUUGUUUUGGUACACCGUGUUUUGUUUUGCUUUUACUCACUUUGUUGGGUGUUUUAAAAGUGCUCUGAUCAUUCCUCAGCUCUCGGAAUAGUCAAGCAAAGGUCAUGUUUUCUUUUUAUGGCACAAGAAUAGUCACUGGCUGCCUGGGAUUUUUGCAGAAACACUCAUUUUAUCGAUUUUUUGCUUGUCGGAGACAUAGUAGAUGAUACUGAAAUUUAAUUUAAGCUUUGAUCUGCUGCAAAUAUAUAUAUAUAUAUAUACACUGUGCUUAUUUACUUGGCACUGCCUUUGAGAUUACAUAGCCUUUGCAAAAAGACGUGAUGUGAAAACCUUAUAGGAGGGAAUAAAAGAGUGUAAUCCAUAUGGAAUCUCCUGCCCUUAGAAGUUAACAGCCUGCAUAUUGUGCAUUACAAUGGGGCUUGCAAAAGAGAAUGUCCUGGUGGAUAUGCUCGAAGUAAUUGCAUUUCUUUUAUCUGUUUGAUUAAAAUGUUUAAACAGGAGUGAGGAACCUCUGGUCCAGGACACAUGUGACUUCCCAGACCUCUCUACAUCGCCUCAGGCCAUACCCUGAGAACAUCUUGGCUGUCUCUUAGCGCAGACCCAGGUCAUUGAGCCUGAGCUUCCACAGCCUCCAACCCAUGGUGGACAGAUGUGGACAUCUGCGGGAGCCUCUGACUUUGUGUGACUGGAAUGUAGCUUCCUGUACAGAGAAGACAUCGAGGCUGCCUCAAUGGAUAUAAGAAACUGGUUCCAAAAAGGUAAGUUAAGUAAUUUCUGUUGAAAAUUAAAUUUUAAAGGGUAAAGACCUGGCUCAGAAGUACAAUGGUAGAGGACAGACUGACUGGGUUUUGUUUGAUGAGCGUCCAUGGAAAUUAUUCAAGGAAAAUCAGGACUGGAUUGAAACGAAAGUUUUGAACAAAUUUUCUUCAAACCCAAGAAAAAUGAUAUUAGUAUAAGACAUGUAACUAGAAUAAAAAUUAAGUUUUUUAAAGCAAAUAAUUGUAAUAACUACCGUAACA